GGCUCAGUGGUCCAAUGGUAAAGCUUUCGUUGCGGAGCCUGAGGGUCCUAGGUUCGAUCCCUAACAGGGUCG
This 72-nucleotide transfer RNA is filed under the name Schistosoma japonicum. RNAcentral describes it as "tRNA-OTHER". The record is from RNAcentral. Lineage: Eukaryota; Metazoa; Platyhelminthes; Trematoda; Strigeidida; Schistosomatidae.